RNAcentral lists this ribosomal RNA (482 nucleotides) under uncultured bacterium. Its description in RNAcentral is "partial 16S ribosomal RNA". It matches the Rfam family "Bacterial small subunit ribosomal RNA", at positions 28 to 523 of the family's 1533-position model. The record is from RNAcentral.
GACGAACGCUGGCGGCGUGCUUAACACAUGCAAGUCGAACGGAAAGGCCCAGCUUGCUGGGUACUCGAGUGGCGAACGGGUGAGUAACACGUGGGUGAUCUGCCCUGCACUCUGGGAUAAGCCUGGGAAACUGGGUCUAAUACCGGAUAUGAUCAACUGUCGCAUGGUGGUUGGUGGAAAGCUUUUGCGGUGUGGGAUGGGCCCGCGGCCUAUCAGCUUGUUGGUGGGGUAAUGGCCUACCAAGGCGACGACGGGUAGACGACCUGAGAGGGUGAUCGGCCACACUGGGACUGAGACACGGCCCAGACUCCUACGGGAGGCAGCAGUGGGGAAUAUUGCACAAUGGGCGCAAGCCUGAUGCAGCGACGCCGCGUGAGGGAUGACGGCCUUCGGGUUGUAAACCUCUUUCACCAGGGACGAAGCGUGAGUGACGGUACCUGGAGAAGAAGCACCGGCCAACUACGUGCCAGCAGCCGCAGUAA